GACGAACGCUGGCGGCGUGCCUAAUACAUGCAAGUCGAGCGGACGAAUCGAAAGCUUGCUUUUGAUUCGUUAGCGGCGGACGGGUGAGUAACACGUGGGCAACCUGCCCUGUAGACGGGGAUAACACCGAGAAAUCGGUGCUAAUACCGGAUAACACGAAAUGUCGCAUGACGUUUCGUUGAAAGACGGCGCAAGCUGUCGCUACAGGAUGGGCCCGCGGCGCAUUAGCUAGUUGGUGAGGUAACGGCUCACCAAGGCGACGAUGCGUAGCCGACCUGAGAGGGUGAUCGGCCACACUGGGACUGAGACACGGCCCAGACUCCUACGGGAGGCAGCAGUAGGGAAUCUUCCGGAAUGGACGAAAGUCUGACGGAGCAACGCCGCGUGAGCGAAGAAGGCCUUCGGGUCGUAAAGCUCUGUUGUUAGGGAAGAACAAGUAACGCAGUAACUGGCGUUACCGUGACGGUACCUAACGAGAAAGCCAGGGCUAACUACGUG
This 498-nucleotide ribosomal RNA is filed under the name uncultured bacterium. Its description in RNAcentral is "partial 16S ribosomal RNA". It matches the Rfam family "Bacterial small subunit ribosomal RNA", at positions 28 to 507 of the family's 1533-position model. The record is from RNAcentral.